GCGCACCAGGAGUGCUGGGUGACCAUCAGGUGAUGGUCAGGCAGUUGUUAACUCUCUCUGUAAAGUAAUAAUUGGUCACAGCCAGUGCCAGAGAAAGUCCGUCUACUAAUAGAUGUAGAUAGGAAACACCUGAAACUGAUCAGCAGCUUCCCAGUAAGAUCUCAGGAGUGGAGAGGAGGAACGCAAGAUCCCGGAAGUAUGCCGGCGUAUAAAACCCCCAGUCAAAAGAAUAAAGCCCAAAAAUAUUAGCAUAACAUUCAGGGGACUUCGUGAUCAAGAUCCACUUUAUCUCUCCUGUGUUAUCUCUGACUGCCACCCUGUGAAGCCUUGAUUCAACGACACCAAACCACUGACAAUUCUGGAGAACAUUAAGUUAUUAAAAGUCUUUUGCAAUGAUUGGAAGAUGCCUGUGAUCUGGAGAAAAAAAUGAGAGUCUACAGAGACCUUGCCUCCUGAGGCAAUGGCGUAUCUCACAGCCACUAGUGGUGACAGUCAAGAGAAUGACCAAAAAUAGGAUCCAACCAGCCCACUAUGAGGAACACCAGCACCGAAGGCCUGGUUACCACGGUGGGAUAAGGGUCCAGUUGGUAGAGCCCAGCAAAAGCCCAGAGGGCAAAGGCCUCUUCCACUCUCAUCAAGAUACUAAGCUUCUCCAUGAACCCAGGUACCAUCUUAGGAAGGAGGAAUGAGGUGAGACCCCUUGAGAGAUAGGAAAAGCUUAACUUUUAAUGAGUAUUUAGCAGAAAGAGAUUGAUUUGAAACAGAAGAAACUGGGUUACUUUUUAUUGACCAGGGACAUAUGCUGAAUUGUGCCCUCACACACACAAAUUUGUGUGUUGAAGCCCUAACCCUCAAUACCCCAGGAUGUAACUGUAUUUAGAGACAGCGCCUUUAAAGAGGUGAUGAAGUUAAAAUGAGGCCCUAAGGGUGGACAGUAAUCCAAUCUGACCAGUACUAUAAGUAAAGGAAAUUUGGACAUACAAGGAAACACCAGAUGCCCACACACAGAGGAAAGACAAGGUGAGAACACAGAGAGAAGGCAGCCAUUUGCAAGCUGAGGAGAGAGGCUUCAUGAGAAACAAGCACUGCCAACACCCGAAUCUUGGAUUUCCAGCCCCUAAAACCAUAAGAAAAUUAAUUUCUGUUGUUUAAGCCAUCCAGUCCCUAGCAUUUCAUUACAGCAGCCAUAGCAAACUAAUACGGCAUUUUAAGGGUUGUGGGGUUUUCAUUUCAUAUCAGUAGGAGCAAAAGCAAGAUGAAAUGUCAGUUAAAUAAAAUGUAAAAA
Macaca mulatta (Rhesus monkey) is the source of this 1285-nucleotide non-coding RNA. NCBI's taxonomy places the organism in Eukaryota, Metazoa, Chordata, Mammalia, Primates, Cercopithecidae. The record is from RefSeq and is a predicted model, not a curated record.